CCUACGGGAGGCAGCAGUAGGGAAUCUUCCGCAAUGGACGACAGUCUGACGGAGCAACGCCGCGUGAGUGAUGAAGGUUUUCGGAUCGUAAAACUCUGUUGUUAGGGAAGAACAAGUACCGUUCGAAUAGGGCGGUACCUUGACGGUACCUAACCAGAAAGCCACGGCUAACUAUGUGCCAGGAGCCGCGGGAAUACGUAGGUGGCAAGCGUUGUCCGGAAUUAUUGGGCGUAAAGCGCGCGCAGGCGGUUUCUUAAGUCUGAUGUGAAAGCCCCCGGCUCAACCGGGGAGGGUCAUUGGAAACUGGGGAACUUGAGUGCAGAAGAGGAGAGUGGAAUUCCACGUGUAGCGGUGAAAUGCGUAGAGAUGUGGAGGAACACCAGUGGCGAAGGCGACUCUCUGGUCUGUGCCUGACGCUGAGGCGCGAAAGCGUGGAGAGCGAACAGGAUUAGAUACCCUGGUAGUCCACGCCGUAAACGAUGAGUGCUAAGUGUUAGAGGGUUUCCGCCCUUUAGUGCUGCAGCAAACGCAUUAGGCACUCCGCCUGGGGAGUACGGUCGCAAGACUGAAACUUAAAGGAAUUGACGG
Molecule: ribosomal RNA, 588 nt
Filed under: uncultured Bacillus sp.
Lineage: Bacteria; Bacillati; Bacillota; Bacilli; Caryophanales; Bacillaceae
Description: bacterial SSU rRNA
Rfam family: Bacterial small subunit ribosomal RNA
Source: RNAcentral